CUUAAGAGCAGGCCUGAAAUAUCAGAAAUCCAUUGUGUGAAGGAUUCAAAGGUUCCUUUGAUGCGGUUUACAUUUGAUGGGAUUUCAGUUGAUCUUCCAUAUGCUCAGCUUAAAGUCUUAAAUGUUCCUGAAGAAAGUAUGCAUACCUUGGACUUGAACAGAUUUUUUGGUGGAUGAAACAUUCUUCUAAACAUGAUGUUUGCAGUGUUCUUUCCUUGUCAGGAUUGAGUAGAUGAUUGAAGUGCUUUUUUUUUUCUUUUUUUUUUCGUUCUUACAAAUUGCUUUCAUUGUAUCUAGUAACGUGGUCAAUAGAUGUGCUGUUUGCUGCUCCGGUUUGAUCAAUCGUGGUUCUUUUGCCCAGUUGAUAACAAGGAUAUUUGACAUUUCGACUUGCUGAACCGCAGAAUGUGGACAUACUCAAUCUAUCCCUUUUGACUAAUAUUGACGAGACCAGUUGGAAGAGUUUAUCUGGAGUACGUGCUAACCAACGGAU
RNAcentral lists this long non-coding RNA (493 nucleotides) under Populus tremula. Its description in RNAcentral is "long non-coding RNA (PTRE_LNC002767)". The record is from RNAcentral. Lineage: Eukaryota; Viridiplantae; Streptophyta; Magnoliopsida; Malpighiales; Salicaceae.